Molecule: unclassified non-coding RNA, 258 nt
Filed under: air metagenome
Description: partial contains small subunit ribosomal RNA, internal transcribed spacer 1, and 5.8S ribosomal RNA
Rfam family: Eukaryotic small subunit ribosomal RNA (bases 1-46)
Source: RNAcentral
AAGUCGUAACAAGGUUUCCGUAGGUGAACCUGCGGAAGGAUCAUUAGUGAAUAUUAGGGUGCUUUUCGGUCUCCUUUAACUGGGGAAUUCGAAAAGGCCUGACCUCCACUAUCUACCCUGUGCAUCUAUUUCGACUAUUUCAAAGCUUGUUCUCGCAAGAGAUGCAAGGUUUGAGUAGUCUCCUUUUAAACACUAGUUUAAGAAUGUAAACAAAACAAUAACAAAAAAAAACUUUCAACAACGGAUCUCUUGGAUCUC